Molecule: ribosomal RNA, 477 nt
Filed under: uncultured bacterium
Lineage: Bacteria
Description: bacterial SSU rRNA
Rfam family: Bacterial small subunit ribosomal RNA
Source: RNAcentral
GACGAACGCUGGCGGCGUGCUUAACACAUGCAAGUCGAGCGGUAAGGCACUUCGGUGUACACGAGCGGCGAACGGGUGAGUAACACGUGAGUAAUCUGCCCUUCACUUUGGGAUAAGCCUCGGAAACGGGGUCUAAUACCGGAUACGACCACUCCAGGCAUCUGGUGGUGGUGGAAAGUUUUUUCGGUGGGGGAUGUGCUCGCGGCCUAUCAGCUUGUUGGUGGGGUAAUGGCCUACCAAGGCUUCGACGGGUAGCCGGCCUGAGAGGGUGACCGGCCACACUGGGACUGAGACACGGCCCAGACUCCUACGGGAGGCAGCAGUGGGGAAUAUUGGACAAUGGGCGGAAGCCUGAUCCAGCAACGCCGCGUGAGGGAUGAAGGCCUUCGGGUUGUAAACCUCUUUCAGUAGGGACGAAGCGCAAGUGACGGUACCUACAGAAGAAGCACCGGCCAACUACGUGCCAGCAGCCGCAGU